Molecule: long non-coding RNA, 301 nt
Organism: Notothenia coriiceps (black rockcod)
Lineage: Eukaryota; Metazoa; Chordata; Actinopteri; Perciformes; Nototheniidae
Exons: 3
Source: RefSeq, a predicted model, not a curated record
UCUUCCGGGCGACCCGCCCUUUAAGAAAUUAGAAAAUUCUACAAUAAAACCCGAAAAACUGAAAAAAAAUGAGGCAACUUUAUUAAUGAAAGCUCUCACGCUACCCACCGUAAAUAAACACGUCCCUUUAGUUGGAAGACAGCGAAAGACAGCGAAGUACCUCAGAUCAUUCAUGGAAAGCCAUCUUCUAUAUUAAAAAUGCCACAGCAACUACAACACAAGAAUUCAUAUGGCAGUAGAAUGAGCAUCGGGCAGAAGCGAUAACGCCUCCGGAUUCAAAGUGUGUUCAACAAGAAGGUGA